GUGGGGAAUUUUGGACAAUGGGCGCAAGCCUGAUCCAGCAAUGCCGCGUGCAGGAAGAAGGCCUUCGGGUUGUAAACUGCUUUUGUACGGAACGAAACGGUCCGGGUUAAUACCCUGGGCUAAUGACGGUACCGUAAGAAUAAGCACCGGCUAACUACGUGCCAGCAGCCGCGGUAAUACGUAGGGUGCAAGCGUUAAUCGGAUUACUGGGCGUAAAGCGUGCGCAGGCGGUUAUGUAAGACAGAGGUGAAAUCCCCGGGCUCAACCUGGGAACUGCCUUUGUGACUGCAUAGCUGGAGUGCGGCAGAGGGGGAUGGAAUUCCGCGUGUAGCAGUGAAAUGCGUAGAUAUGCGGAGGAACACCGAUGGCGAAGGCAAUCCCCUGGGCCUGCACUGACGCUCAUGCACGAAAGCGUGGGGAGCAAACAGGAUUAGAAACCCUUGUAGUCC
This 449-nucleotide ribosomal RNA is filed under the name uncultured bacterium. RNAcentral's name for it is "partial 16S ribosomal RNA". It matches the Rfam family "Bacterial small subunit ribosomal RNA", at positions 354 to 796 of the family's 1533-position model. The record is from RNAcentral.